Molecule: long non-coding RNA, 285 nt
Organism: Sapajus apella (tufted capuchin)
Lineage: Eukaryota; Metazoa; Chordata; Mammalia; Primates; Cebidae
Exons: 2
Source: RefSeq, a predicted model, not a curated record
GGAGUCACAGGCACACACCACCACCCUCAGCAAGAAAUUCACUAAUUAAGAGAAAUGCCUGGAGCGUGGGCUGAUACACUUCAGAAAUAUCUUCCAUAAAUAUUCUCUCUCAACAAAAUUCUGGACAAUAACUGACAGAGAAAUGGUUAAGUGCAGAACACCAACUCUAAUAGCCACCAGAGUACAAGACAACACUAAAAUUUCAAGAAUGCCACUCUGUUUUGUGCAGAAGUACCUGUUACCAAAUGCUGAAAUAAGCUAGAGAACUCAAUUUUAAGAAAAGUC